This 497-nucleotide ribosomal RNA is filed under the name uncultured bacterium. RNAcentral's name for it is "bacterial SSU rRNA". It matches the Rfam family "Bacterial small subunit ribosomal RNA", at positions 903 to 1397 of the family's 1533-position model. The record is from RNAcentral.
AAAGGAAUAGACGGGGGCCCGCACAAGCGGUGGAGCAUGUGGUUUAAUUCGAAGCAACGCGAAGAACCUUACCAGGGCUUGACAUCUACCGGAAGACUUGUGGAGACAUAAGUUGUUCUUCGGAACUGGUAGACAGGUGGUGCAUGGUUGUCGUCAGCUCGUGUCGUGAGAUGUUGGGUUAAGUCCCGCAACGAGCGCAACCCUUAUUCUUAGUUGCCAGCACGUUAAGGUGGGCACUCUAAGGAGACUGCCGGUGACAAACCGGAGGAAGGUGGGGACGACGUCAAAUCAUCAUGCCCUUUAUGUCCUGGGCUACACACGUGCUACAAUGGCCUGAACAGCGGGUUUGCGAUGUCGCGAGGCGGAGCUAAUCCCUUAAAUCAGGUCUCAGUUCGGAUUGCAGGCUGCAACUCGCCUGCAUGAAGUCGGAAUCGCUAGUAAUCGCGAAUCAGAACGUCGCGGUGAAUACGUUCCCGGGCCUUGUACACACCGCCCGU